AAUAGUCCUGUAGGUAAAAAGAGAAAACUUCGAGAUCUAAUCCAGAGUACCACGAGACACGUGAAACCUUGUGGGAAGCAGGGAGGACCACCUCCCAAGGCUAAAUACUACCUAGUGACCGAUAGUGAAGCAGUACCGUGAGGGAAAGGUGAAAAGAACCCCGGAAGGGGAGUGAAAUAGAACCUGAAACCGUGUGCCUACAACCGAUCGGAGCACGUUAAAGUGUGACGAUGUGCUUUUUGUAGAACGAGCCAGCGAGUUACGCUAUGUAGCAAGGUUAAGUACUUAAGGUAUGGAGCCGAAGGGAAACCGAGUCUGAAAAGGGCGAAAAGUUGCAUGGUGUAGACCCGAAACCGGGUGACCUAUCCAUGGCCAGGUUGAAGCGAGAGUAAAAUCUCGUGGAGGACCGAACCACGUUGGUGUUGAAAAACCAUGGGAUGAGCUGUGGAUAGCGGAGAAAUUCCAAUCGAACUCGGAGAUAGCUGGUUCUCCUCGAAAUAGCUUUAGGGCUAGCGUCGUGUAAUUGAGUAAUGGAGGUAGAGCACUGAAUGGGCUAGGGGCUAUAGUAGUUACCGAACCCUAUCAAACUCCGAAUGCCAUAUACUUGUAUCACGGCAGUCAGACUGCGAAUGAUAAGAUCCGUAGUCAAAAGGGAAACAGCCCAGACCAUCAGCUAAGGUCCCAAAGUGUAAGUUAAGUGGAAAAGGAUGUGGGAUUUCUAAGACAACUAGGAUGUUGGCUUAGAAGCAGCCACUCAUUUAAAGAGUGCGUAAUAGCUCACUAGUCAAGAGAUCCUGCGCCGAAGAUGUCCGGGGCUCAAACUUACCACCGAAGCUAUGGGUGUACACUAUGUGUACGCGGUAGAGGAGCUUUCUGUAUGGGUUGAAGUCGUACCGUAAGGAGCGGUGGACUGUACAGAAGUGAGAAUGCUGGCAUAAGUAGCGAGAAAUAAGUGAGAAUCUUAUUGGCCGAAAACCUAAGGUUUCCUGGGGAAGGUUCGUCCGCCCAGGGUUAGUCGGGACCUAAGCCGAGGCCGAAAGGCGUAGGUGAUGGACAAUCGGUUGAUAUUCCGAUACCGCCUAUUUACGUUUGAGAAAUGGGGUGACGCAGUAGGAUAAGAUGUGCGCACUAUUGGAUGUGCGUCUAAGCAUUUAGGCAUGCUUGAUAGGUAAAUCCGUCGAGCUAAGCUGAGGUGUGAUGGGGAGCCAUUUAUGGCGAAGUAUCUGAUUCCACACUGCCAAGAAAAGCCUCUAUCGAGUGAAUAGGUGCCCGUACCGCAAACCGACACAGGUAGGUGAGGAGAGAAUCCUAAGGCCAUCGGAAGAAUUGCUGUUAAGGAACUCGGCAAAUUGACCCCGUAACUUCGGGAGAAGGGGUGCCUACGAAAGUAGGCCGCAGAGAAUAGGCCCAAGCAACUGUUUAGCAAAAACACAGGUCUCUGCUAAAGCGAAAGCUGAUGUAUAGGGGCUGACGCCUGCCCGGUGCUGGAAGGUUAAGGGGAACACUUAGCGUAAGCGAAGGUGUGAACUUAAGCCCCAGUAAACGGCGGCCGUAACUAUAACGGUCCUAAGGUAGCGAAAUUCCUUGUCGGGUAAGUUCCGACCCGCACGAAUGGCGUAAUGAUUUGGGCACUGUCUCAACAGCAAAUCCGGCGAAAUUGUAGUGCAAGUGAAGAUGCUUGCUACCCGCGAUUGGACGGAAAGACCCCGUAGAGCUUUACUGUAGCUUAGCAUUGAAUCUCGGUAUUGUCUGUACAGGAUAGGUGGGAGACUUGGAAGCUUGGGCGUCAGCCUGAGUGGAGUCAUCCUUGGGAUACCACCCUGACAGUACUGGGGUUCUAACCGGCGGCCAUGAAUCUGGUCACGGGACAUUGUUAGGUGGGCAGUUUGACUGGGGCGGUCGCC
This 1904-nucleotide ribosomal RNA is filed under the name Clostridium sporogenes. RNAcentral describes it as "bacterial LSU rRNA". It matches the Rfam family "Bacterial large subunit ribosomal RNA", at positions 366 to 2287 of the family's 2925-position model. Lineage: Bacteria; Bacillati; Bacillota; Clostridia; Eubacteriales; Clostridiaceae. The record is from RNAcentral.